UCUCCGUUGGUGAACCAGCGGAGGGAACAUUACAGGACUCGCAAGACUCCUACAACCCUGUGAACUUAACUAUAAGCACGUUGCUUCGGCGGGUGUCUCGGAGGGGGUUCUCCCUCCCCGAGACGCUAAACCCGCCGGCAGCCUACUAUACUCUGUCUCUUUGCGUUGGCAUCUCGAGUACAAUCAAACAAGUUAAAACUUUCAACAACGGAUCUCUUGGUUCUG
RNAcentral lists this unclassified non-coding RNA (225 nucleotides) under plant metagenome. RNAcentral describes it as "partial contains small subunit ribosomal RNA, internal transcribed spacer 1, and 5.8S ribosomal RNA". The record is from RNAcentral.